RNAcentral lists this ribosomal RNA (696 nucleotides) under uncultured bacterium. RNAcentral's name for it is "bacterial SSU rRNA". It matches the Rfam family "Bacterial small subunit ribosomal RNA", at positions 32 to 715 of the family's 1533-position model. The record is from RNAcentral.
AACGCUAGCUACAGGCUUAACACAUGCAAGUCGAGGGGAAACGACAUCGAAAGCUUGCUUUUGGUGGGCGUCGACCGGCGCACGGGUGAGUAACGCGUAUCCAACCUGCCCACCACUUGGGGAUAACCUUGCGAAAGUAAGACUAAUACCCAAUGAUAUCCCACGAAGGCAUCCGAAUGGGAUUAAAGAUUUAUCGGUGGUGGAUGGGGAUGCGUCUGAUUAGCUUGUUGGCGGGGUAACGGCCCACCAAGGCAACGAUCAGUAGGGGUUCUGAGAGGAAGGUCCCCCACAUUGGAACUGAGACACGGUCCAAACUCCUACGGGAGGCAGCAGUGAGGAAUAUUGGUCAAUGGGCGAGAGCCUGAACCAGCCAAGUAGCGUGCAGGAUGACGGCCCUAUGGGUUGUAAACUGCUUUUAUAAGGGAAUAAAGUGGGUCACGUGUGACUUUUUGCAUGUACCUUAUGAAUAAGGACCGGCUAAUUCCGUGCCAGCAGCCGCGGUAAUACGGAAGGUCCGGGCGUUAUCCGGAUUUAUUGGGUUUAAAGGGAGCGUAGGCCGGAGAUUAAGCGUGUUGUGAAAUGUAGUGGCUCAACCUCUGCACUGCAGCGCGAACUGGUCUUCUUGAGUACGCACAACGUGGGCGGAAUUCGUGGUGUAGCGGUGAAAUGCUUAGAUAUCACGAAGAACUCCGAUUG